RNAcentral lists this ribosomal RNA (333 nucleotides) under uncultured eukaryote. RNAcentral describes it as "partial 18S ribosomal RNA". It matches the Rfam family "Eukaryotic small subunit ribosomal RNA", at positions 592 to 975 of the family's 1831-position model. The record is from RNAcentral.
CAAUAGUGUAUAUUAAAUUUGUUGCAGUUAAAAAGCUCGUAGUUGAAACGAUACGUCUGUUCAGCUGUUCUUUUCAGAGCGCAGAGCAGGCGCGGGCUUUUCGAAAGCCUCUGUUACUUUGAGAAAAUUUGAGUGUUUCAGGCGGGCCAGAGCUGGAAUAGUGUACCAUGGAAUAACGCAGUGGUUGUCCCUCUCUUUCUUCGGUUUUGGACGGGACGAUACGUGGUUGAUAGGAACAGUCGGGGGCUUUCGUAUUGAACAGUCAGAGGUGAAAUUCUUAGAUUUGUUCAAGACGAACUAAUGCGAAAGCAUCAGCCAAGGAUGUUUUCAUUA